UACGAAGGGAGCUAGCGUUGUUCGGAAUCACUGGGCGUAAAGCGCACGUAGGCGGAUGUGUCAGUCAGGGGUGAAAUCCCGGAGCUCAACUUCGGAACUGCCCUUGAUACAGCACGUCUUGAGUCCGGAAGAGGUGGGUGGAAUUCCUAGUGUAGAGGUGAAAUUCGUAGAUAUUAGGAAGAACACCGGUGGCGAAGGCGGCCCACUGGGACGGUACUGACGCUGAGACGCGAAAGCGUGGGGAGCGAACAGG
Molecule: ribosomal RNA, 253 nt
Filed under: uncultured bacterium
Lineage: Bacteria
Description: partial 16S ribosomal RNA
Rfam family: Bacterial small subunit ribosomal RNA
Source: RNAcentral